RNAcentral lists this ribosomal RNA (253 nucleotides) under uncultured bacterium. RNAcentral's name for it is "partial 16S ribosomal RNA". It matches the Rfam family "Bacterial small subunit ribosomal RNA", at positions 524 to 776 of the family's 1533-position model. The record is from RNAcentral.
UACAGAGGGUGCGAGCGUUAAUCGGAAUUACUGGGCGUAAAGCGUGCGUAGACGGUUAUUUAAGUCGGGUGUGAAAGCCCCGGGCUCAACCUGGGAAUUGCAUUCGAGACUGAAUAGCUAGGGUACGGUAGAGGGAAGCGGAAUUUCCGGUGUAGCGGUGAAAUGCGUAGAUAUCGAGAGGAACACCUGCGGCGAAGGCGGGUUGCUGGGCUGACACUGACGCUGAUGCGCGAAAGCCAGGGGAGCGAACGGG